This 71-nucleotide transfer RNA is filed under the name Candidatus Riesia sp. RNAcentral describes it as "tRNA-Tyr". Lineage: Bacteria; Pseudomonadati; Pseudomonadota; Gammaproteobacteria; Enterobacterales; Enterobacteriaceae. The record is from RNAcentral.
GGCCAAUUCGUCUAACGGCAAGGACUCCAGGUGUAUCCUGGUAAUGUGUGGUUCGAGUCCCGCAUUGGCUA